Molecule: long non-coding RNA, 533 nt
Organism: Corvus hawaiiensis (hawaiian crow)
Lineage: Eukaryota; Metazoa; Chordata; Aves; Passeriformes; Corvidae
Exons: 4
Source: RefSeq, a predicted model, not a curated record
UUCAUUUUCACACAAAAUGGAUGCAAGUUCUCCAAAACAAACACACCACCUCCAAGCACACGCUGACACAGGGCACAGCAAGAAACCAAGAACACAAACUGUGUCCUCUGCACUGAGUGAAGGAAAGGUGUCAUGGCAAAACAGCUCAUCUGUAUUAAAUGUGAACCUGAUGCAGAUUCAUGGCGAUACCAGGAGCUUCAGAUGAGCAUUUAUCACCACCAGGACAAUGACCAGCUGUUGUUCAGCUCCCACUGCCAUGGUGAAGAUUGUUUCACUGCUGGAAUAAACAACACAUGCACAGUUUAGCAUCCUAACUGGAAAAUUCUCAGAACUUAAAGAAAGCACAGCUUAUGGACAGCAUGUCAUAUUACAAGCACACAAAUCCUGCCCUCAGUGACUGGCAACACUUUCCUUUCCAGAGGCUGAGCAGAUGCUUUUGAACAGCAAGAAACAGUUUUGGUCAUAUUGAAUUCUCCUUGUGUUCUCCUUCAACACAUACCCACUAUGUCUUCAAAUACAAUUCAGCCAAUAAA